GGCCUAACACAUGCAAGUCGAGGGGUAUAUUUCUUCGGAGAUAGAGACCGGCGCACGGGUGCGUAACGCGUAUGCAAUCUGCCUUUCACAGAGGGAUAGCCCAGAGAAAUUUGGAUUAAUACCUCAUAGUAUUACAGGAUGGCAUCGUCCAGUAAUUAAAGUCACAACGGUGAAAGAUGAGCAUGCGUCCCAUUAGCUAGUUGGUAAGGUAACGGCUUACCAAGGCAACGAUGGGUAGGGGUCCUGAGAGGGAGAUCCCCCACACUGGUACUGAGACACGGACCAGACUCCUACGGGAGGCAGCAGUGAGGAAUAUUGGUCAAUGGGCGCAAGCCUGAACCAGCCAUGCCGCGUGCAGGAUGACGGUCCUAUGGUGUGUAAACUGCUUUUGUACGGGAAGAAACAGCUCUUCGUGAAGAGCCUUGACGGUACCGUAAGAAUAAGGAUCGG
This 450-nucleotide ribosomal RNA is filed under the name uncultured bacterium. RNAcentral's name for it is "bacterial SSU rRNA". It matches the Rfam family "Bacterial small subunit ribosomal RNA", at positions 45 to 496 of the family's 1533-position model. The record is from RNAcentral.